This 30-nucleotide non-coding RNA is filed under the name Mus musculus (house mouse). The record is from RNAcentral. Lineage: Eukaryota; Metazoa; Chordata; Mammalia; Rodentia; Muridae.
AGCUUCUCCAAUGUCUUGCCAAGAGGUGGU